RNAcentral lists this ribosomal RNA (299 nucleotides) under uncultured archaeon. RNAcentral's name for it is "partial 16S ribosomal RNA". It matches the Rfam family "Archaeal small subunit ribosomal RNA", at positions 157 to 458 of the family's 1478-position model. The record is from RNAcentral.
UAGGUCAUCACUUCUGGAAUGGGUAAUGACUUAAACCUAUAUGGCCCCUGGAUUGGACUGCGGCCGAUCAGGCUGUUGGUGAGGUAAUGGCCCACCAAACCUGUAACCGGUACGGGCUCUGAGAGGAGGAGCCCGGAGAUGGGCACUGAGACAAGGGCCCAGGCCCUAUGGGGCGCAGCAGGCGCGAAACCUCUGCAAUAGGCGAAAGCUUGACAGGGUUACUCUGAGUGAUUUCCGUUAAGGAGAUCUUUUGGCACCUCUAAAAAUGGUGCAGAAUAAGGGGUGGGCAAGUCUGGUGU